RNAcentral lists this ribosomal RNA (331 nucleotides) under uncultured eukaryote. Its description in RNAcentral is "partial 18S ribosomal RNA". It matches the Rfam family "Eukaryotic small subunit ribosomal RNA", at positions 1470 to 1796 of the family's 1831-position model. The record is from RNAcentral.
CCCUUAGAUGUUCUGGGCUGCACGCGCGCUACACUGAUGCGCUCAACGAGUUUAUGACCUUGCCCGGAAGGGUUGGGUAAUCUUUUUAAAACGCAUCGUGAUGGGGAUAGAUUAUUGCAAUUAUUAAUCUUCAACGAGGAAUUCCCAGUAAGUGCAAGUCAUAAGCUUGCGCUGACUACGUCCCUGCCCUUUGUACACACCGCCCGUCGCUACUACCGAUUGAAUGAUUUAGUGAGGACUUCGGACUGGGACCGAUGCGGCUUUCGGGCUGCGUCGGUAUUCUGGAAAGAUGUCCAAACUGUAUCAUUUAGAGGAAGUAAAAGUCGUAACA